GCAUUUGUGCGUCUCCAGGCAUUCAGGGCUUAACUCUGGAUAGGAAGCUCCCUCUAGACUGAACACGGGAACAGGAUGGCGCUCAGGCGGAGCGGACACUUGAAGGCACUUACGAGGAGCUGGCACCGGAGGGCGCUUUCUAGGAGUGGGCACUGGAGGGCACUUUGGACUGGAUUUGGGGACUGGAGCCCUCUCCUCUUCGCUUUGGCACUUUCGCCGCUCCAUACUCCACUCACCCUCAGCGGCGGUGCAGGGGGCGGAGCUCCUCUCCACGCUCACACUGUCCGAGGCUUUCUCCCUCGUGGCGGACAUUAUUGCCGGCUCUCGCACCUGGUCUGAUGGCUUGGGCUCUACUUCCGGGGCAAUCCUCCGCUCAGUCACUCGGCAUUGCACUGGCUCGUAGAUCGCGGCGGGAAUUGGCUCUCCGUCAUCGGUGGGCUCUGGCUUUAACUCCGCACAGCGGGGAGAUGGUGGGCUGGGCACCGGGUCCGGAGUGGAUCUGACGAGAUCAUCCUAAUGUUUAUUAUAUAUCCGUGUAUAUGCUCUUUCUUAGUCGCUGUUAGAACCCUAAUACUACCUCUAUCAUUUAACCUAAACUAAUGGCAUCUCUAACACAAUGCGGUGGUUUAGAAUCCCUGUAAUCCGCCAUCAAGCAGCCCAUUGGGCAUUCACUUUACAUAUCCUAUCAAGACUUCACAUUAAUCAGCCUAUCGCGGCCUUUGCUCAAUUUGGCCUAUUGUUACCAUAAGUUUCAGUGGCUCUCAGUCAUACCGGUGACAUUACCUGAGCAGUCGAAGGCUGCGCAUUUAUUGCAUGGACGGAGCAAAAAUGAUCUUCUAAGAAAUACUUCGUCUGAUACUGCCGCUGUCGUUUCCCUCCAUCCUCCCCACCACCACCAGGUUGGCCCCGUCCAUGCGGGGGUAGGCUCUGCCCUGCCUUCGUCUUUGGCAGGAAUAGCUGGAAUCUCCGACUUCAGAUAUAAGCUACGGAUGGGGCCUAUGCCAAAUAAUUCUGUUUUUUUUGUAUCAGCUUUGUAAAUUAUUUUGAGUUUUAUCUUCCCCUCCCAAGUCUUUCUGGUAGAACUGUCUCUUUUAAUGUGUUUCGUAUUGUUUUAGUGUUUUGCUAAUGGACCGUGAGUCUAGAAAUAAAGUUGAAUGAAUAUUUGUGUGCGUAUUCACUGCUGUCUCUAUGCAAAUUGGAUGGGUUGAAUUCAGAGGAAAAUUACAAGUAUGGGUUAUCUUACUUGGCUUA
Sinocyclocheilus grahami is the source of this 1251-nucleotide long non-coding RNA. RefSeq lists it as uncharacterized. The transcript is spliced from 4 exons. NCBI's taxonomy places the organism in Eukaryota, Metazoa, Chordata, Actinopteri, Cypriniformes, Cyprinidae. The record is from RefSeq and is a predicted model, not a curated record.